RNAcentral lists this long non-coding RNA (6601 nucleotides) under Salmo salar (Atlantic salmon). RNAcentral's name for it is "lncRNA (ENSSSAG00000115439.1)". Lineage: Eukaryota; Metazoa; Chordata; Actinopteri; Salmoniformes; Salmonidae. The record is from RNAcentral.
GUGGGUGCUGCUUUGGUGACCAGUGAGCUGAGAUAAGGGGGGACUUUACCUAGCAGGGUCUUGUAGAUGACCUGGAGCCAGUGGGUUUGGCGACGAGUAUGAAGCGAGGGCUAGCCAACGAGAGCAUACAGGUUGCCGUGGUGGGUAGUAUAUGGUGCUUUGGUGACAAAACGGAUGACACUGUGAUAGACUGCAUCCAGUUUGGUGAGUAGGGUAUUGGAGUCUAUUUUGUAAAUGACAUCGCCGAAGUCGAGGAUCGGUAGGAUGGUCAGUUUUACGAGGGUAUGUUUGGCAGCAUGAGUGAAGGAUGCUUUGUUGCGAAAUAGGAAGCCAAUUCUAGAUUUAACUUUGGAUUCGAGAUGUUUGAUGUGAGUCUGGAAGGAGAGCUUACAGUCUAACCAGACACCUAGGUAUUUGUAGUUGUCCACAUAUUCUAAGUCAGAACCGUCCAGAGUAGUGAUGCUGGAUGGGCGGGCAGGUGCGGGCAGCGAUCGGUUGAAGAGCAUGCAUUUAGUUUUACUUGUAUUUAAGAGCAGUUGGAGGCCAUGGAAGGAGAGUUGUAUGGCAUUGAAGCUUAUCUGGAGGGUUGUUAACAUAGUGUCCAAAGAAGGGACAGAAAUAUACAGAAUGGUGUCAUCUGCGUAGAGGUGGAUCAGAGACUCACCAGCAGCAAGAGCGACAUCAUUGAUGUAUACAGAGAAAAGAGUUGGCCCAAGAAUUGAACCCUGUGGCACCCCCAUAGAGACUACCAGAGGCCCGGACAACAGGCCAUCCGAUUUGACCAAUUGAACUCUAUCAGAGAAGUAGUUGGUGAACCAGGCGAGGCAAUCAUUUGAGAAACACUCACCACCAGGGGCUGAGUGUGUGGGCAUGUCUGAGGCUCGAGGUUAGUGAUCAUUUAGAAAUAAAACUACAGCUACAACCUGGUUUGUUGUUUGGGACAAGAUUAGGUGGAUUGGACGUUUUAAGACGUGACCAGCAGUUGGGUGCCAUUUGAGACGCAGAUCCUGUUUCUGGAGGCCCAACUGGUAGCCAGGCUCAGAUCCUGUUUCUGGAGGCCCAACGGGUAGCCAGGCUCAGAUCCUGUUUCUGGAGGCCCAACGGGUAGCCAGGCUCAGAUCCUGUUUCUGGAGGCCCAAUGGGUAGCCAGGCUCAGAUCAUGUUUCUGGAGGCCCAAUGGGUAGCCAGGCUCAGAUCCUGUUUUAGGAGGCCCAACGGGUAGCCAGGCUCAGAUCCUGUUUUAGGAGGCCCAACGGGUAGCCGGGCUCAGAUCCUGUUUCUGGAGGCCCAACUGGUAGCCAGGCUCAGAUCCUGAUUUUGGAGGCCCAACUGGUCGCCAGGCUCAGAUAUUUCACAGCUCUCUGUCUGUGAUUAACAUCAUGUUGACGCAAGUGCUGUGUAAAUAAAAACAUAAAACAUAUGUAUAAGACCUUUAGCGUUUCUCAUGUAGUUGUCCUAGGGAGUAUUGUCGGGAAAGAAUGAUGACCCAUUUCAGAAGCAGAUGUUUGAGGUCACCAUCAGACUCAGUCAACUCCUUUUCCCCCAUUGGUAGAGCUCCUGCAAUUGGAUGGUUGACCGAUAAAACGCUUGACUGUUUUUUCUUAAAAAUCCACAUACAGUGUACAUGGCCAUGUUUCCUGACUGUUGAAAGCCUACAGCACUGUCAGUCACAGGGGAUAAAACAGCUGCAUAGAUUAAAACAGAAUCCAAAUCUAACAAUGACUCAAUAAACCGCUCUUAGAGCCCCUCGAUCCAUUUUAGAUUCUGAGAAACGGUCCUUGAUCACUCUCAUCAGUGAGUGGUAUUACACCGCUGAGGCAGUCACACACAGCUUGUCUGGUUUCUCUCGUCAUUUCCUGAUUCAUCCAACCACUCCAUCCCUCCACCCCCAUCUUCAGCUGUUUAAACAGCAGAAAUUAUGUCUGUAAUUGUUUCAGUGUGUAGCCUGUUAUUUUAAUGUGCCAAGCUGGAUGACAAAAAAAUGAAUCAAUCAAUGAUUGCAGUAAACGGCAAGUAUUUUCUGACUACUUACAUUCUUAAAGUUUUACCACCUUUAGACUUACUUUUUGGAAUAGUUUGACUAAUUAUCAGGUGUUUCCAAUUUCUCCCCAGUGAUAUGAAAUGGAUAUCACCACAGUGAAGGAGACUGAGAGACAGGGCAUGGGUUGUCUUUUCACUGCGAGUGACCUGCAACUUUCUCGACAGAUUUGACAGAAAGCCUAGGCCUGGAUAAAUAUGUCUCCUCUAUGCUUGUGGGCCUUCUCUCUCUGUUUCUUAAUGCUCUACUACUUAUUCAAAUCAAAUCAAAUCAAAUUGUAUUUGUCACAUGCACCGAAUACAACAGGUGUAGACCUUACCGUGAAAUGCUUACUUCUUAACAUCAUUGUGAAAAGACCCCAUGCUGAGAUGCAUUUAUUUAUAGUGUGGAUGGCUGAGGUAACAGGUACCAGUAUUAGGACAGGGGACAAGGAGAACACAGUUAUGGUGUCCAUAUUAGGACAGUCACAGCAGGACUUGUCAGUCUUAUUGGCUGUAACCUCACACAAGGGUAAUUUAAAAACCAAAUGACAUGAUGAGGGGUUUUUGUUUGUCUUGUUAGUGAUUUUGGGCGACGACUUCACUUAUAUUUCUUGAAAAAAAAUGUUCUUCUUUUAACCGUUCAACUGUUGAAUAGUGAAAAAAUACCAAUCAUGGAAUUGUAGUUUUGAAUGUUCGUUACAAAACAUUUUACGGACAGUAAUGUUUUUUGGCUGAUUUAUAGUGUUCCUUUCCUCCAUCUGACAGAGCAUAGUUAGGCUACUGGGUGAUUCCUCACCAUAUGACAGAGCAUCAUUAGGUUACUGGGUGAUUCCUCACCAUCUAACAGAGCAUCAUUCUGUUACUGGGUGAUUCCUCAUCAUCUGACAGAGCAUCAUUAGGUUACUGGGUGAUUCCUCAUCAUUUGACAGAGCAUCAUUAGGUUACUGGGUGAUUCCUCAUCAUUUGACAGAGCAUCAUUAGGCUACUGGGUGAUUCCUCACCAUCUGACAGAGCAUCAUUAGGGUUGUUCCUUACAAAACUAGAGCAAAACAGGACCAGGAUUUUGGGAUUUUAAUUAAAUUAAAUCUAUAGAAGGGUCCUUUGGAGGAACUAUUGUUGACGUAUAUUUGACAUUUGUAUGUUAAAGCAUAAUUGAGACAUCAAUAAUUUCCUUUGGAAUAUUUGUGACCUUUUCCUUUAAUACUCCAUAAUGUUUCAUCUGUAGGUUCUAUAAAGUAAAAGUUGGUGUCAUGUGAAGCUUUACAGUGUGUACUGUAAAAUGCGUAGUAUUUUGAUUUCAAUAACAAUUUUCUUACUAAGGAUCUGACCCUUUUUUUCAAAUUUUGCCUGAAAUGACAUACACAAAUCUACUGCCUGUAGUUCAAGACCUGAAGCAAGGAUAUGCAUAUUCUUGAUACCAUUUAAAAGCAAACACUUUGAAGUUUCUGGAAAUGUGAAAUUAAUGUAGGACAAUACAACACAUUAGAUCUUGAUAAAGAUAAUAUUGUUCCAGCCCAGGUGCAAUUUAGAUUUUGACCGCUAUAUGGCAGCAGUGUAUGUGUAAAAUGUUAGACUGAUCCAAUGAACCAUUGCACAUCUGUUCAAAAUGUUGUAUCAAGACUGCCCACAUUUGCCUAAUUGGUUUAUUAAUACAUACAGCCUGACGGGAUACUCUCAAUUGUGAAUCUGUAAAAGUUUGUGAGGAUUUUAAGGGCCAAGACAAAUUUCUUCAGCCUCCUGAGGUUGAAGAGGCACUGUUGCGCCUUCUUCACCACAGUGUCUGAAUGGGUGGACCAUUUCAGAUCGUCAGUGAUGUGUACGCCGAGGAACUUGAAGCUUUACACCUUCUCCACUGCGGUCCCGUCGAUGUGGAUAGGGGCAUGCUCCUUCUGCUGUUUCCUGAAGUCCACGAUCAGCUCCUUUGUUUUGUUGACGUUGAGUGAGAGGUUAUUUUCCUGGCACCACUCUCCCAGGGCCCUCACAUCCUCCCUGUAGGCUACCUCGUCAUUGUUGUAAUCAGGGCUACUACUGUUGUGUCGUCUGCAAACUUGAUGAUUGAGUUGGAGGCGUGCGUGGCCACGCAGUCAUGGUUGAACAGGGAGUACAGGACGGGGCUGAGCAUGCACCCUUGUGGGGCCCCUGUGUUGAGGAUCAGCGAAGUGGAGGUGUUGUUUCAUACCUUCACCACCUGGGGGUGGCCCAUCAUGUAGUACAGGACCCAGUUGCACAGGGCGGUGUUCAGACCCUGGGCCCCGAGCUUAAUGAUGAGCCUGAAGGGUACUAUGGUGUUGAAUUCUGAGCUAUAGUCAAUGAAUAGCAUUUUUACAUAGGUAUCCCUCUUGUCCAGAUGGGAUAGGGCAGUGUGUAGUGCGAUGGCGACUGCAUCGUCUGUGGAUCUAUUGGAUAACACACAAAAAGCAAAACACAGCUUCGGAGCUAGAAGCAGAGCUGCCAUAUCUGUCCGCACCAUCUUACUACGUCACAUCUGUGCCGAUAUGUACACCAUGUCAUUGAUCUCUUUCUCACUCUGCUGUGGGUGCAUCAUAUGUGUCUUGUUAGCUCUCACUCAUAUGGCGAGGGGCUGAAGCUCAUUGGUUUUACUUGAAUUGCUAGGGGGCUGGCCCAUGUGGGGGAAAAUGUAGGGAAAAUGCGCCAGCACAGCUUCCAGAAAAACAGUGGCUUUCAAACUAGGGAUUUCGUGGCUGUUUGAGGAAAGACAUUAAUUCUGUUCAUAAAUUAUGCAGCCCAAAGCGGGAUGUUAAAAAAAGACUUAAUAGUUGCCAAAGUUAAUUUACGAAUAUUGAAAAUUGAAUGCAAUGUAACCAAUCGCAGCCCUGCUUUUAGUUCUAGCAUUGCACAUCCUGAAAAUCACCAGGGCGACCAUUUUGAAUCCAUUUUCACAUUCACUCUGUUAGUAAUGCUUAUACAUUGGAUCGUAACUCUACAAGUAGCAGAGAUCCCACUCUGAAACUUUGAUAUACCCGUAGAGUAUAUUAUGUUCAAAAUAUAUUGAAAUAUUUGCCUUUUAUAUACAUAUAUAUUCAACACUCAUGUUUAUGUUUUUCAAUAUUUAUAUAUUUAUGUAAGAAAUGUGUUAUUGAAAUCAAAAUACUACUCAUAUUACAGAGCAAGAGGUAAAGCUUCAAAUGACCCCAACUUUUGCUUUGUAGCACCUACAGAUGAAACAUUAUGGAGUCAGGAUGUUAAGGCCAAAAAGUCACAAAUAUUCAAACUGAAAACCAACAAUAAAUAAUUUCUCAAUUGUGCUUUAAAGCUAGAAUCCUUAGUUGCUACAUCCGGUUAGAUUUAUAAAUGAAUGAGCUAUACACAUUGAUUCUUGAAGAAUAUAAUUUUGAAAUGCUUCAUGAGCUUAGUUCAACUGUCGUACACCAUCAGAACCCAAUACACAAGCUUGUUUACUCCAAUGUUUGUAAACAAUUUAAAAGUAAACAAUCACUGUAUAGCCUCAAAACAUGGUUAAAACUAUACAUUUGAUAUCAUGGAUGGUUAGUCCUUGCAUCCAUAGCUGUCUAUGAAUUUGAGAGUCGUUCAAUUUCUCCAGGCCCAUCCCUAAGCUUUUUACAAAAACAGAGGCAAGGAGACCGCUUUGUUAUUGUUUUAAUAAAAUGUCAAAUAUAUGUCAACAAUCCUUCCUCUAAAGGACCCUUCUAUGGUCUUGUUUGGCUCUAGUUUGGUGAGGAAUCACCCUACUGGAGUAAUGAUGAAACGCACACCACCGCCAAAUAUAUGAACAUAACAUUUCUCUUCUUGAGGAUUUUAUUUUUAUUUUUUAUUUUUUUAUUGUUAUUUCUCUUGGAAGAAUGACUUCACAAAUCUUUCAGGACUUUCUCUCUCUCUCUCUCUAUGUUAAUGUUUCCAACACUCCGUUGUCUUGGCUGUAUUGUCAUUUUGAGUCUCUGUUUUUUGGGUCUUCCGUUCCCUUGACUUUUAAUGAAAACAAUUACAUUCUAUUUCUUCUUUUCCGAACAUCUAUUAACAGCUGCACGGUAACAUAUUAAAGAAGAGAAAGAGCGAGAAGAAGAAAAAACAAGUUGAAGUUGAAGAAAAAAAUAUGUGAAUGAUCACGAUGAUAGUGUUCACUGAGUCUGAAGCUAUUGGGUGAGAUUAAAUAUGAAUUGAUCCCUAUGCAGCUGCAGUCCCUGUGAAUGUUGAAAACUCUCCGGCUCUGAGUCAGUGCCCUUUAUUCACCAACACAAUAACAAAAUAAACAUGACACUUCAAGCCAAGGUUGAGUUUUUUCCCCCACCCUUUUUAAAUAUUUGGUAUAAUAACCAACCCAACUUCCCGAUGAAAACGUGCACCUUUUUGGUCAGAAAAAAACUGUAUGAAGAGUUCUAUCACCUAAGUCCUGUACUGUUUUUUAGGGUUGAAAAGGGACUGAAUACUCUCUCUCUCUCUCUCUCUCUCUCUCUCUCUCUCUCUGUCCACACAAGACGCAGUUCAUGAUCUGGGACCAUUUUACAAUAUAGGCUAUGCAAAGUGCUGUGGGGACUGUAGCUAGAAUAAACAAGGAAAAGGAAAGAUAUCUGUAACACUUUCUUGAUGCCUAGCAUCAUAAAAC